RNAcentral lists this ribosomal RNA (254 nucleotides) under uncultured bacterium. RNAcentral describes it as "partial 16S ribosomal RNA". It matches the Rfam family "Bacterial small subunit ribosomal RNA", at positions 524 to 776 of the family's 1533-position model. The record is from RNAcentral.
UACGUAGGGUGCGAGCGUUGUCCGGAAUUAUUGGGCGUAAAGAGCUCGUAGGCGGUCUGUCGCGUCGGUCGUGAAAACUUGGGGCUUAACCCCGAGCUUGCGGUCGAUACGGGCAUGACUGGAGUUCGGCAGGGGAGACUGGAAUUCCUGGUGUAGCGGUGAAAUGCGCAGAUAUCAGGAGGAACACCGGUGGCGAAGGCGGGUCUCUGGGCCGAUACUGACGCUGAGGUACGAAAGCUAGGGGAGCGAACGGG